This 460-nucleotide ribosomal RNA is filed under the name uncultured bacterium. Its description in RNAcentral is "partial 16S ribosomal RNA". It matches the Rfam family "Bacterial small subunit ribosomal RNA", at positions 338 to 795 of the family's 1533-position model. The record is from RNAcentral.
CCUACGGGAGGCAGCAGUGAGGAAUAUUGGUCAAUGGCCGGAAGGCUGAACCAGCCAAGCAGCGUGAAGGAUGACUGCCCUCUGGGUGGUAACCUUCUUUUAUAAAGGAAUAAAACGAGGCACGUGUGCCUUUUUGCAUGUACUUUAUGAAUAAGGAUCGGCUAACUCCGUGCCAGCAGCCGCGGUAAUACGGAGGAUCCGAGCGUUAACCGGAUUUAUUGUGUUUAAAGGGAGCGUAGAUGGGUUGUUAAGUCAGUUGUGAAAGUUUGCGGCUCAACCGUAAAAUUGCAAUUGAUACUGGCAGUCUAGAGUACAGUAGAGGUAGGCGGAAUUCGUGGUGUAGCAGUGAAAUGCGUAGAUAUCACGAAGAACCCCGAUUGCGAAGGCAGCUUACUAACCUGUGACUGACGUUGAUGCUCGAAAGUGUGGGUAGCAAACAGGAUUAGAUACCCGAGUAGUC